RNAcentral lists this ribosomal RNA (486 nucleotides) under Papyridea aspersa. RNAcentral's name for it is "partial 16S ribosomal RNA". It matches the Rfam family "Bacterial large subunit ribosomal RNA", at positions 1808 to 2610 of the family's 2925-position model. The record is from RNAcentral. Lineage: Eukaryota; Metazoa; Mollusca; Bivalvia; Cardiida; Cardiidae.
CAAAAACAUCUCUCCUAGAGUUGUUGGAUUAGGAGUAGUCCCUGCCCUGUGAUUAGUUUUUAACGGCGGCGUUAAGUUUUGAAGUAGCGAAAUAAUUCGUCCUUUAAUUGGGGACCAGUAUGAAUGGGUUGACGUGGGCCAUCUGUCUCUGGGGGAUUACCAUAAAUUUGCUUCUCAGUGAAAAGUCUGAGAUUUUUUUAAGGGACGAGAAGACCCCGACGAGCUUAAUCAGCUUGCUUAAGGUUAGGUGUUAGUGAAGGUUUAUUGGGGCAAUAGGGGAGAAGGGAACCUCCUCUUUAUACAUCAAAGAUCCCCAUCUAGGGAUAAAAGGUAAAAGCUACCGCGGGGAUAACAGCGCAAGGCAACCUGAUAGUGCAUAUUGAAGGUUGAGUUUGCGACCUCGAUGUUGGAUUAGGGUUUACUAUCAGGCGGAGAGGCUUGGUUAAGUGGGACUGUUCGUCCCUUAAAUCCCUACAUGAUCUGAGU